CAGGGAGACAACAAAAUGUUUAAUAUUAUUAUUUUGUCACCUUAGGUCGAUCGGUAUCUCACAUUCUUAAUUUAUUAAGAAUUUCAUUUUCUAAGUUUUCUAGGUCACACCCAUUAUUUUUCCUGGGCCAUUAGCUCAGGUGGUUAGAGCGCACCCCUGAUAAGGGUGAGGUCCCUGGUUCAAGUCCAGGAUGGCCCAUAUCUCUAUGUUGGGGGUAUAGCUCAGUUGGUAGAGCGCCUGCUUUGCAAGCAGGAUGUCAGCGGUUCGAGUCCGCUUACCUCCACUGAUUACCACCUCUACCAUAAUCUGUAGAAAGGAAAAUUUUGUGUUGUGAUCAUCUUUCUGAACGAUUCUAGCUUCUUAAUAAAAUCAUUAAGAUUCUGGACUCAUUGAAUUUAUUUCAUUGUUUUCAGAGAACCUUGACAACUGCAUAGAUUAUUUUUAAAGACAAUUAGCAUCUUUAUGAUGCAGAUUUAUUAUUUGUGCGAAUGCAUUAAUAACAAUUCUAUUAAGCUGAUGCUUCAAUUUUGAAGUUAUU
RNAcentral lists this transfer RNA (538 nucleotides) under uncultured Prochlorococcus sp. RNAcentral's name for it is "partial 16S-23S ribosomal RNA intergenic spacer". The stretch from base 211 to 283 matches the Rfam family "tRNA". Lineage: Bacteria; Bacillati; Cyanobacteriota; Cyanophyceae; Synechococcales; Prochlorococcaceae. The record is from RNAcentral.